GACAGAGGUGCCGAGCGUUAGGCGGAAUCACUGGGCUUAAAGCGUGUGUAGGCGGGCGGGCAAGUACCUUGUGAAAUCCCACGGCUCAACCGUGGAACGGCUGGGUAUACUGCCUGUCUUGAGCCAACUAGGGGCGAGCGGAACAGACGGUGGAGCGGUGAAAUGCGUAGAUAUCGUCUGGAACGCCGAAGGUGAGAACAGCUCGCUGGGGUUGUGCUGACGCUGAGACACGAAAGCCAGGGGAGCGAACGGG
This 253-nucleotide ribosomal RNA is filed under the name uncultured bacterium. Its description in RNAcentral is "partial 16S ribosomal RNA". It matches the Rfam family "Bacterial small subunit ribosomal RNA", at positions 524 to 776 of the family's 1533-position model. The record is from RNAcentral.